Molecule: long non-coding RNA, 547 nt
Organism: Artibeus jamaicensis (Jamaican fruit-eating bat)
Lineage: Eukaryota; Metazoa; Chordata; Mammalia; Chiroptera; Phyllostomidae
Exons: 4
Source: RefSeq, a predicted model, not a curated record
UGUUUCUUGAAAUGGAUAUAAACUCAAGUACUACCACUGGGUGAUACACAAUUGUGCCUUAACUGGAACAGCACCUGAAUCAGAGGAGCAUGCCCUCUCCCACUCUAACCUGCACCUCAAGCUCUCACCUGGACAACUCACACUGGUACUCACUUGCACCACAGUUCUGGCAGACUUGAGGUUAAAUUAACUUCUGUGAGCAAGGCUGAGAACAAAGCCAGUGUGUGAAGCUUGAAGCAAACUCCAAUGCAAAACUCUCAGCUACUGCCAUCUCUUCCUAUGCACUGCUCCACUUGUUCCUGUGCAGCCCUCACUGAAGCAUCACCUCCUCGCAGCAAACCAACUUCCUUUGGGGGCCAAUGGACUUUUAGACUCUUGCAACUUCAAAAAAAAAAUCCAUACCUGGGGGGCUUCCAGUCAAAAUGGCCAAAUUAUCUCCAUGACGUUUUCAGUGCCUAACUCCCACCUUGGCACUCUCCACCUGAUGAACUCCUAUUCAUCCAUGAAGACCCCAUGCUCUUCCUUUAGUUUUCUCCUCUGGGUAGAC